This 470-nucleotide ribosomal RNA is filed under the name uncultured bacterium. Its description in RNAcentral is "partial 16S ribosomal RNA". It matches the Rfam family "Bacterial small subunit ribosomal RNA", at positions 28 to 507 of the family's 1533-position model. The record is from RNAcentral.
GACGAACGCUGGCGGCGUGCUUAACACAUGCAAGUCGAACGGUGAACGAGGGAGCUUGCUCCCUCCGGAUCAGUGGCGAACGGGUGAGUAACACGUGAGCAAUCUGCCCCGAACUCUGGGAUAAGCGUUGGAAACGACGUCUAAUACCGGAUACGACGCGGGAGGGCAUCCUCUCCGCGUGGAAAGAACUUCGGUUCGGGAUGAGCUCGCGGCCUAUCAGCUUGUUGGUGAGGUAACGGCUCACCAAGGCGACGACGGGUAGCCGGCCUGAGAGGGUGACCGGCCACACUGGGACUGAGACACGGCCCAGACUCCUACGGGAGGCAGCAGUGGGGAAUAUUGCACAAUGGGCUCAAGCCUGAUGCAGCAACGCCGCGUGAGGGACGACGGCCUUCGGGUUGUAAACCUCUUUUAGCAGGGAAGAGGCGAAAGUGACGGUACCUGCAGAAAAAGCACCGGCUAACUACGUG